This 74-nucleotide transfer RNA is filed under the name Sphaerochaeta pleomorpha str. Grapes. RNAcentral describes it as "tRNA-Arg (TCT) (tRNA-Arg-TCT-1-1)". It matches the Rfam family "tRNA". Rfam says of the family: Transfer RNA (tRNA) molecules are approximately 80 nucleotides in length. Their secondary structure includes four short double-helical elements and three loops (D, anti-codon, and T loops). The record is from Rfam by way of RNAcentral. Lineage: Bacteria; Pseudomonadati; Spirochaetota; Spirochaetia; Spirochaetales; Sphaerochaetaceae.
GCGCCAAUAGCUCAGUUGGAUAGAGCAACUGCCUUCUAAGCAGUAGGUCGUAGGUUCGACUCCUACUUGGCGUA